This is a long non-coding RNA of Cavia porcellus (domestic guinea pig), 6012 nucleotides long. RefSeq lists it as uncharacterized. The transcript is spliced from 2 exons. The record is from RefSeq and is a predicted model, not a curated record. Lineage: Eukaryota; Metazoa; Chordata; Mammalia; Rodentia; Caviidae.
ACACAAGAUAAUUUCUACUUAAAGGGAAGAAGAAACUACAUAAUGUCAUUGUUUAAACUUCUGAUCAGUGUCAUUUGAGGCAUGCUUUUCUUCACUAAAAGAGUAUUUUGUUUAACUCGUAUGGGCACACAUCUGGUAUCUGAAUAUUCAAUAUUUAUGAGGUUAUUGGCUUAUGGUCUUGGAAUUGUAAAGAUUUCCAUUCCUCAAGAAUCAAAACCUUGAUCUUAUCAUUUUUUGUAAAGCUGUUUUACAUAGUUCCAGAUUAUAACUUAUGUCAGAUUUAUGCCUUUUCACUGUAUAGAGGACUGAUCUCUAAAGUGACAUCUACAGUGUAGCACUGAAGUAUGAGAAGAACAUGCUAGCAUCUGUAAAACCCUUUUAAAUCUUUUAUGUAUGUGUGUUGUAUACAUAAUAUAGAUUAGUAAAACAGUGUCUUUUUAAUGAAAAAUUCUGAGACCGCUGCUGUAGAGCGCUGCCUAAGCAUCGUAAUUCCUUUGAAAUCUAGUAAUUAGGUGAUUUAAUUAGUACAGAAUCAGAACAAAGUGAAUUAGAUUCAAAGGAACAGUUUAACCAAGCUUUGGAAAGACCUUACAUAUAUAAUCCCUAUUAGAUUGCUAAUUUUGUACCCUAAUAACUGGUAUACCUAUUAGAUGUACUGUACCCAUUUAUUGAACAAUAAUGAAUAUCUUAGUCAUUUUUUUGUUGCUUGAAGUACAAUGCCAUAAGGCUGGGUAACUUUUCGAGAAAAGAAGUUUAUUUUGGCUCACCAUUAUGAAGGUCCAAGUUGAUGAGGCCCCAUCUGUUGACAGCCCUUUCUUGCUGCUAGAGUACAGAGGAGAUGGAGAGUAUCAUAUGGAAAGAGUUGUGUGUAUAGAGUGUGUGUCUUUUGAUACCUCCUCCUUUUUAUAAAGCCACUGUUAAGUCAUGGGGCUAUGUCCUUAUAACCUUGUUUAAUUCUUACCACCUCGCAAAGUCCCCAACACUAAAUAUUAUAGUUGGAUUAAAGUUCUACCUUUUACAAUGGGGGUGAGUUUCAACAUAAGUUUGGGAAGGGGAAAAUCAUAAUCAGUAAUAGAGAUUAAUCUGCUUGCAUGAGUUUUGGAGGACACAAACCGUAAUAAAGUUUUUAUUCUAACUUUAUUUCAUAUAAAAAAUAUAAAAGUGUUCUAUAUUUUUCUUUUUAUAUUUAAUACUUAAAUUAUAUUUGUGCUAUGCUUUUAUUAAAUUAGGUAAGAUUUGAAUUUUCUGUUAGACAUGAUUAUUGAGAAUAUACCCUCAUCCCUUGUCCAAGGCUUUGAAAAUACUCUUAAUACUAGCAUAGUCAUCAACCAGAUACUAGUAUGGGUUACACUAAGGGUAGAAUUUCGUGAAGUUACUAGUUUCUUUUUCAGAGAGUGCUUUUUUUCUUUUUAGCUUGUCUACUUGUGGAAGCAUCUUACUCAGGUAUCCUUCAGUAGCCUCCUCAAAUGGAGGCUGAUUAUUCUUUUUUAUCGCAUAAUGAGAGAUGAGAAAUAGAGAAAGGUAAGAAAGAAAGAGGCAGUAAGAAGGACUGCCAAAAGAUAAGUAGUGAAGUACAACAUUCGUUUAAUGAUCACUAUUCUUCUAAAUCAGUAUUUCUUUUUUUGUCUUUUUCCUUUUUAUCAGUACUGGGGAUUGAACUCACGACUGCCUGCUUACAAGGCAGGCGCUUAUGCCGCUGAGCUAAACCUCCAGCCCCCUAAAUCAGUAUUUCUAAAUACUUCAUGUAAAAUUGGUCUUCUGCAUCCAAUAUUUUAUAGAACAUUCUACUCUCUGUCAUUCCUCUUUGUUUUCUUACCAAUUUAUUUGACUUCUUGCUUGCUCACUGAAAAUUUAGACUGCUGUCUCCCGAUCUAAAUCUGUGUUAAUUUUUUCUAUAACUCUUAAGUUGUUUUUGUUUUUGUUUUGAGACUAGGUCUUGCUAUGCAGUUCAUUGGCCUUAAAUUCUUUAGAUAGCCAAGGCUGGCCUCAAACUUGUGACAGUCCUCCUGCCUCAGCCCCCAUGUAUUGGAAUUACAGUGUAAGCCACCAUACCCAGCUAGGGAGAACCUAUUUAUGAUUCCAUUUUACUUUGGUCAGGCAUUCCCAUGGCCAUACUCAUCACCCAAAAUUACUCUCUUAACACUUUAAAUCCUAAUAAAAGAAUCUGUGACCAUAUAUGCCAGCUGUUAAACUUUUUUUCUCCCCUACUCCUUUAACAUGUGCUUUUCUGUCUUAUAGGACUCCUUAUAGGGAACUUCUGCAUUUUAUUCUAGUGGAUCAUGUCCCUCCCAGAACUACUUCCUAUCAGUCAUUUAAAACAUUUUGUCCUCUGUGCUUUUUAUCCCUUUACCUCAUUGCUUUGUGUUGCAUCUGCCUAGCAAAACUCAACCAUUCUAGCCUUUACUGUCUUCAUGCCUACUGCUAGGACUGCUUAGGACAACAGCAGAGUAUUUUAGAACCACUAUAAUUUUAUCACUGCACCCUCAACUAUGUCUUUAAAACUGCCAGUGGUUGGUUCCUAAUCUAUAUUCUUUCCGUGAUCCAGAGUGCAUUUAUAAGCCUUAUGCCAUUCUCAUAAUUUUUCUUCUCUUUUUUGGUAGUGCCGGUAUUAAAUCCAUGGCUUCAUUCAUGUAAGACAGAUGCUUUACCAUUACAUUAAGCUACCCCUCCCAACCUCUUUUCCCAAUUCUUAACACUACUGUCUUCUCCAUCAUGCUCAUUAUACCCCCUACUUUACAAAUAAAAAUAAAGGCCAUCAACUCUCAAAUUUAUAGAUAUUUUUCCUGUCCUUUUUUUUUUUUUUUUUUUUUUUUUGAGACAGGGUGUCAUUAAGUUGUCUAUGCUGACGUAAUCUUCCUGCCUCAUCCUCCUGAGUAGCUGGGGUUACAGGUGUGUCCACCACAUUGGGAUUUUCCUAUCUUUCUAGAAGUGAUAUUCCUAGUUUGUGGCAAAUGUGUACAACUACUGAAUGAAUCCUAGUUCUUGUAGACUUUGUUUCUGUAAUGAUUACAAUGAGAAUAAUUGAAUAAACAUUUGAAUUUCCUUUUUACUGGUUUGGCCUUCUUAGCAGAUCUCCCCUAAACUAUAAACAACCAAGCGCAUUUUAAAACUAUAUUAUCCUCCCGCCUUCUCCUAGGCAAAGGGAGCAUAUUAUACAAAGAUACAGCCUUGAAAAGGCAUAAAACACAUGCCUUUUAAAAUGGUUUUGAAACACUUAGAAGCCAGAGACAAAAUAAAAGUAUUACUUGAAGCCAUCCAAAUGGAUAGAUUUUCUACAAGGGAAAAUUAUACAGAAGAAAUUAUAAUGUUCUAAGGACAAAAAGAAUUUCUACAAUUAAGGGGUUGAAGGUUAAGGGAGAACUAGCAAUGUAAACAGAAAGAAAGCAACCUUUACAACCAUUGUAGAAAGAGGAAGAGAAUCAAAGAAGAGGACAUUUGCAUUAGAAAACAUGUUUGAAUGAACGGCUGUUAGAUUUUAGCUUACACAUUUAAAACAUGUGUAAGAUUGAGUUUAUUAGCAUUUCUCUUCUCUAUGAUGGUUUUCAUGCAUGUAAGACUCCUGUAUGAUCCCAAUUCUAAAUGGGUGAUUAUAUCAUAAAGAACAAAUAAUGCUUCUUGGUUUACCAAAAAAAAUCUACUCUUGCAGUAUAAUGUAACUGUUAUAUUUUGAGUUAUAGCAAAUUUUUGCAUUUUGAGUUACAAUGAAAAAUGCAUCACACAUGUGCAGCUGUGCAUGUUUUAUGAUGCUUAUUACACCUGUGUGUGAAUAUAUAAUACAUUUAAACAAUUUAAAUAUUUUUAUGAGGUAAUACUUAUUACUUCUUGUAAUGUAUUCCAUUUUUAUACUUCCUUGUUUGAUUUUUUAAAUGCUGAUUAUGAUACAGUAAAUCUGUUUCAUGAUCCCCCCAUACUGUGUUAUAACACUCAGUUUGAAAAAUGGUACCUUAAACUAGGUUACUUCUCAAAAAUAAUUUUAGACUAACUAUUAAAAAUUGGGGUGCUGAUUUAAUGCCUUCUGUUCGCCUAUUGGCAGGGCUAAUGAGGUCUGUCUCUUAACGUCACCCAGAGUGGGUACAAAUUGCUAGAACUGCAGACUGACUUUUUGCCCGGUCAGGAAGUAAUGGGUAAUAUGAAGACAUGAUUGACAGAAACAGAAUUUGGCACUUGCUCUAAAUAGUAUCAUUUCUCUCCUUAUUUAGUUACGUUCUCCACAGCACAUUGUCUUAUAGACUGAUCCCCAGGUGCUAGGACACAUGAAAAACUAAGUAAUACAGGCGUGAGUUAAGCUUACUAAACUUCCACCAUUUUACAUCUUACAGAUUAUUUAAGUGAGGUAAAAAGUCAGUUUUAAGUUACAUACAUUAUUGACUGAAACUUUAAAUGCCUCAAACAAAUUGUUUUAUUGUCUAUGUCUCAUCAUACCAAAAGCAGUCAAACAAACAAAGCAGAAGGAAAAUACCAAUUCUGUUAUGUGGUAGUUACAUUUUAAACCUUUUAUUUUUUAGGUGUUUGCUAUUUAAUCUUUCUAGGCUUCCAUGUGCUUGCUUGUAAAAUGAGCAAAUUGAUUCCCAGCCCUCUAGAAUUCCAGUUGUUAGGAGUCAGAAGCUAUUUUCAGUAUUCAGAUAAGCAGAUUGAGGACCAUAAAUUGAAUCUGCAAGAUGGUAACAAUAAAAAGGCAGGUCAACAAACAAAAGAAAUGAGCAACUAUUUCCAAGAUGAUAAUAUGUAAUCUAUUAACAGGUGAUUUCUUACUGUUAUGUUUUUUUUUUUUUUUUGUAGUUCUGUAUUACAUGUACCCUUACACCGCUUUGUUUUGUUUUGUGUUUUUCUCUUUUUCCUCUUAAAUAAAAUUUAAAAAAAAACAAACAAUAGAAAUAUUUUCAGACACUGUUCUCUAAAGAAUUCUUUAAUUAUGUAACAAUAUAGUUAAGAGCUUUGUUGUUCUGCAGAUAGUUUGUAAUUCUGAAGUAACUUUGUAAGCAAUAGAUAAGUUUGGCUGGGAAAAUGAUCUAAAUAAGAAUUUAGCUUUUUGAGAAACACAUAGGUACUUUGAAAAUUCUUGAGUCGUUGGAAAUUUUUGUCAGGUAUAUUUAUGAAGUUUGUGACACUGAAGUAUGUUAUUAAAAUAAUAAUCUGAAAAUAAAAUAAAAUAAUAAUCUGUUUUCUUAUUCACAGUCACUCGAUUUACCAGCAUUAGAAAUUGAAAUUUAUUAUAAAAAUAGGCUAUUUUCAUAAAAUUAGAAAUUUUUAUUUUAUAAAUAUAUUUGCAAAUCUUCAUUCAUAGAUCAAAGUACAUUUUUACAUAUAUACAUACAUAGACACACAUACAUAGCUCUUUCCCAGAUGUGUGUAGUUGCAAAUAUAUGAACAUUUUGGUAAUCUGGCUUUAGAAAAUUGAGGAUUCUUAUAAAGUAGAUUUGAACACCUGGUCAAAGCAGUGUUUCAUGUCCUUUUAAGACUUUACAAACUUAAAACUGUAGUAGUACUAAAUAUGAUUCUUUCAAACUCAAGAUUUAUUUUUUUUUUUGUACUGAGGAUCAAACUCAUGACCUCACUCUUGCCAUGUAGGCACAUGUGCCACUGAGCUAUAUCUGCAGCCUAAGAAUUUUUAUAUGCUCCCCUAGAUCAUUAUUUCCUUAAGGAAAGGAAUCACUAAUUUAAACAAAGUAGAGAAAAUAUACCUGAAAUUCUAAUUUCUUCUCCAUUUUUAUAUGAGAAUGUGGAUUACUGGAGAGAACUUUUUACUCAUUUAUUCAACAAAUAUGAAUUGAGUCUACUACCUGGAGUUGAGUUUCUCAGCCUAUGAUAAGUUUACUUUUUAGUAACUUAUUAUAAAUUGAUAUCAUAAAUUUAAAAUGGACUUAUUUAGUACACUUAACUGACCAAAUACCAUGGCUUAGCCUAGCCUUCCUUAAAUGUCCUCAGGAAGGACGUCUACAAUUCUUCAUGUUGUGCAAAGUCAUGUAACACAAAACUGAUAUUACAAUAAAGUAUUGAAUCUGGAGAGAACAA